Molecule: ribosomal RNA, 253 nt
Filed under: uncultured bacterium
Lineage: Bacteria
Description: partial 16S ribosomal RNA
Rfam family: Bacterial small subunit ribosomal RNA
Source: RNAcentral
UACGUAGGUGGCGAGCGUUGUCCGGAUUUACUGGGCGUAAAGAGCGCGCAGGCGGUCGUACAAGUCGCGUGUGAAAGCCCCUGGCUCAACUGGGGAGGGUCACGCGAUACUGUUCGACUCGAAGGCAGGAGAGGGAAGUGGAAUUCCCGGUGUAGUGGUGAAAUGCGUAGAUAUCGGGAGGAACACCAGUGGCGAAGGCGCUCUACUGGGCCACAACUGACGCUGAGGGACGAAAGCUAGGGGAGCGAAAGGG